GAGAAGCUCAUCAUUCAGAGCAACGUUCCAACAAACUCUUUGUCCCUCUGUGAGUCAGUCUGCUGGAGCUGUGAGAACUUGAAGUGUGAUCACAAAAACCAUGCUGAAGGUAGCACUUAUUCUUGGAUGCCUCCUGAGCCUCACUCUGGCUCAACCUAUGGAGAAUGAGCGAUUUGUCCGCUCCAGUUCUAACUCUGGUUCUAACUCCAAUGAGGCGACCACCACUCAGUCUACAACUACAGUCCAGGGGGCUACAUCGCUGAACCAGAUUAUUCUGAAUCUUCUCCAACAACUUCUUCGUAACACAAACUGAAACCUGAAAUGAAACCAGAAAUAAAUAAAUGAAUGAUAUCAGCUUUGUGUCAAAUCAAUUUAUCCUGAAAAGGUGUGACUGGUUUUUUGUGGUGCCUGACAAACAAAGUCUAUAAAAAAAAAAAAAUGCAGAAAAGUAUCAGAUUGCUCAUAACCUUGAUGUAUACAAAGUUUUUACCAUAUAGUGAUGCAAU
Melanotaenia boesemani (Boeseman's rainbowfish) is the source of this 506-nucleotide long non-coding RNA. RefSeq lists it as uncharacterized. The transcript has 4 exons. The record is from RefSeq and is a predicted model, not a curated record. NCBI's taxonomy places the organism in Eukaryota, Metazoa, Chordata, Actinopteri, Atheriniformes, Melanotaeniidae.